Long non-coding RNA from Panicum virgatum (switchgrass), 2938 nucleotides. RefSeq lists it as uncharacterized. The transcript has 2 exons. NCBI's taxonomy places the organism in Eukaryota, Viridiplantae, Streptophyta, Magnoliopsida, Poales, Poaceae. The record is from RefSeq and is a predicted model, not a curated record.
AGUUCUAGAUACAGCGUGUCUGUUUUCUGAUCUGUAUUGUUUGGAUCUCCUGAUUAUAAAAAGUCCCAGUUAUCAGUAUACUAUCGUUGUUAAGUUGAUACCAAAAUAACAUAUCAGAUUUUGUAAGAAAUCAUAUUGAAGCUUGAUCUUGCAAAAUUUUCUUUUCACCUGCACACUGAAGAUUUCUAAGCAUUGGUAGGAUAACUGACAAACAAACAACACACAUGAAACUUACAGUAACUGUUUCUGCUUGACGAAGCUACUUCACUGUUCUUUCAUUUCAUCAAUUGCAAUUGCUCUUGUUUCCUGUGUAGCACUUGUCAAACUUAUUUCAAAUAUUGAUAUCUUGAUGUAUCCAUAGGCCUACAUCAACAUCAACAUCAACAAAGCCUUUUAAUCCCAAGCAAGUUGGGGUAAGCUAGAGUUGAAACCCAACAAAAACCAUUAUUCAUGGUUCUGGCACGUGAAUCGCGGCUUUCCAAGCACUCCUAUCUAAGGACAAAUCUCUAGGAUACCACUAUGCACUGGUGCCUCUGGCGGUCUCCGUUGGACAUGUCCAAACCAUCUCAGCCGGUGUUGGAUAAGCUUUUCUUCAAUUGGUGCUAUCCCUAGCCUAUCCCGUAUAUCAUCAUUUCGAACUCGAUCCAUCCUUGUAUGCCCACAAAUCCAACGCAACAUGCGCAUUUCUGCAACACUUAAUUGUUGGACGUGCCGCCUUUUUGUAGGCCAAUAUUCCGCACCAUACAACAUUGCCGGUCUAAUCGCCGUUCUAUAAAACUUGCCUUUUAACUUUUGAGGUACCUUCUUGUCACAAAGGACGCCAGAUGCUUGGCGCCACUUCAUCCAUCCCGCUUUGAUUCUAUGACUAACAUCCUCAUCAAUAUCUCCAUCUCUCUGUAGCAUCGAUCCCAAAUAUCGAAAGAUAUCCCUCUUGGGCACUACUUGGCCUUCCAAACUAACAUCUCCCUCCUCAUGAGUGGUGCCGAAGUCACACCUCAUAUACUCAGUUUUAGUCUUGCUAAGUCUAAAACCUUUGGACUCUAGUGUUUGCCGCCACAACUCCACCUUCCUAUUCACACCCGCACGGCUUUCAUCAACUAACACAUCAUCAGCGAAAAGCAUACACCAAGGAAUAUCACCUUGUAUGUCUCUUGUGACCUCAUCCAUCACUAGGGCAAUAAGAUACGGGCUCAAAGCUGAUCCUUGAUGUAGUCCUAUCUUAAUCGGAAAGUCAUCUGUGUCACCAUCACUUGUUCAGACCCUAGUCAUUACAUUAUUGUACAUGUCCUUAAUGAGGGCCACAUACUUUGUUGGGACUUUAUACCUAUCCAAAGCCCACCACAUCACAUUCCGUGGUAUCUUGUCAUAAGCCUUCUCCAAGUCAAUGAAAACCAUGUGUAGGUUCUUUUGCUCUCUAUACCGCUCCAUGACAUGUCUUAUUAGGAAAAUUACUUCUAUGGUUGACCUUCCAGGCAUGAAACCAAACUGGUUCAUAGUGACCCGCGUCAUCCCUCUCAAACGAUGCUCAAUAACUCUAUCCCAUAGCUUCAUAGUAUGGCUCAUCAACUUAAUUCCCCGGUAGUUGGUGCAGCUUUGAAUAUCCCCUUUGUUCUUGUAGAUCGGCACCAAUAUACUCCUUCUCCACUCUUCAGGCAUCUUGUUCGACCGAAAAAUACGGUUGAAAAGUUUUGUUAGCCAAACUAUCGCUAUAUCACCUAGGCACGUCCACACCUCGACUAGAAUGCCAUUAGGGCCUGUCGCCUUACCUCCUUUCAUCCUUUUCAACGCCUCUUUGACCUCAGAUUCUUGAAUCCUCCUCACAAAGCGCAUGUUGGUGUCAUCAAAAGAGUCGUCCAGCUGAAAAGUUGUAUUCUCAUUAUCCCCGUUAUAUAGUCUGUCAAAAUACUCUUGCCAUCUAAGUCUGAUUUCAUCCUCCUUCACCAAGAGCUGAUCCAUAUCGUCCUUAAUGCACUUAACCUGGCUGAAGUCCCUCGUCUUUCUCUCACGCACCCUCGCCAUCCUAUAGAUGUCCUCUCCUUCCUUUGUAUUCAGUCGUUGGUACAUAUCCUCAUAAGCCCGACCCUUCGCCUCACUCAGCUCGCUUUGCGAUCUUCUUUGCCACCUUGUACUUCUCUAUAUUAUCUGCACUCCUAUCAAGAAACAAAUGCUUAUAACAAUCUUUCUUCUCCUUAAUAGCCCUCUGGACGUCCUCGUUCCACCACUACGUGUCUUUAGUUUUGCACCCACCCCCUCUGGUCAUCCCAAAAACUUCCGAAGCUACCUUCCGAAUGCAGGUCGUCAUCUUCUCCCACAUGUAGUUUGCGUCUCCCUCUUCAUUCCAAGAGCCCUCCACAAUAACUCUUCCCUUGAAUACCUCGGCCAUCUCCCCUUUUAGCUUCCACCACUUCGUUCUUGCGAUCUUGGCUUGUUUAGGCCUACGAGCACGCAUCUGAAAACAAAAGUCGGCCACCAGCAGCUUAUGUUGGGAGACUACAUACUCUCCGGGUAUCACCUUACAAUCGAAGCAUGCUCGUUUAUCCUCUCUUCUUGUGAGGAUAAAGUCGAUCUGACUAGUGUGUUGGCCACUACUGAAGGUCACUAAGUGAGACUCUCUUUUGAAAGAAAGUGUUGGCUAGCAUUAGGUCAAAAGCUACAACAAAGUCUAAGACUUCCUCCCCUUCCGGAUUUCUGCUACCAAAACCAAAACCCUCAUGUGCCGUCUCGAACCCUGUGUUUGUGGUUCCUACAUGACCAUUAAGAUCUCCUCCUAUAAAAAGCUUCUCCCUAAUAGGUACAGCUCUAACCAUGUCAUCUAAGACAUCCCAGAACUAUCUCUUAGCACUCUCAUCGUGUCCUACUUGGGGGCAUAAGCACUAAUAACGUUCAGGACUAAGUCACCAACAACGAGCUUGACUAAGAUGAUCCUAUCUCCUCGCCU